This 253-nucleotide ribosomal RNA is filed under the name uncultured bacterium. RNAcentral's name for it is "partial 16S ribosomal RNA". It matches the Rfam family "Bacterial small subunit ribosomal RNA", at positions 524 to 776 of the family's 1533-position model. The record is from RNAcentral.
GACGAACCGUGCGAACGUUGUUCGGAAUUACUGGGCGUAAAGGGUUCGCAGGCGGCCAACUAAGUCAGACGUGAAAUCCCCAGGCUUAACCUGGGAACUGCGUCUGAUACUGGAUGGCUUGAAUUCGGGAGAGGGAUGCAGAAUUCCAGGUGUAGCGGUGAAAUGCGUAGAUAUCUGGAGGAAUACCGGUGGCGAAGGCGGCAUCCUGGACCGAGAUUGACGCUGAUGAGCGAAAGCUAGGGGAGCAAACAGG